RNAcentral lists this ribosomal RNA (164 nucleotides) under Rubus flagellaris (northern dewberry). Its description in RNAcentral is "5.8S ribosomal RNA". It matches the Rfam family "5.8S ribosomal RNA". Rfam says of the family: 5.8S ribosomal RNA (5.8S rRNA) is a component of the large subunit of the eukaryotic ribosome. It is transcribed by RNA polymerase I as part of the 45S precursor that also contains 18S and 28S rRNA. Functionally, it is thought that 5.8S rRNA may be involved in ribosome translocation. Lineage: Eukaryota; Viridiplantae; Streptophyta; Magnoliopsida; Rosales; Rosaceae. The record is from RNAcentral.
UAAACGACUCUCGGCAACGGAUAUCUCGGCUCUCGCAUCGAUGAAGAACGUAGCGAAAUGCGAUACUUGGUGUGAAUUGCAGAAUCCCGUGAACCAUCGAGUCUUUGAACGCAAGUUGCGCCCGAAGCCAUUGGGCCGAGGGCACGCCUGCCUGGGCGUCACAC